This 253-nucleotide ribosomal RNA is filed under the name uncultured bacterium. Its description in RNAcentral is "partial 16S ribosomal RNA". It matches the Rfam family "Bacterial small subunit ribosomal RNA", at positions 524 to 776 of the family's 1533-position model. The record is from RNAcentral.
UACGUAGGGGGCAAGCGUUGUCCGGAUUCAUUGGGCGUAAAGAGCGUGUAGGCGGCCAGGUAGGUCGGUUGUGAAAACUGGAGGCUCAACCUUCAGAGGUCGACCGAAACCAUCUGGCUAGAGUCCGGGAGAGGAGAGUGGAAUUCCUGGUGUAGCGGUGAAAUGCGUAGAUAUAGGAAGGAACACCAGUGGCGAAGGCGACCACCUGGACUGAUACUGACACUGAGGUGCGAAAGCGUGGGGAGCAAACAGG